RNAcentral lists this ribosomal RNA (468 nucleotides) under uncultured bacterium. Its description in RNAcentral is "partial 16S ribosomal RNA". It matches the Rfam family "Bacterial small subunit ribosomal RNA", at positions 28 to 507 of the family's 1533-position model. The record is from RNAcentral.
GACGAACGCUGGCGGCGUGCUUAACACAUGCAAGUCGAACGGAAAGGCCCUGCUUUUGUGGGGUGCUCGAGUGGCGAACGGGUGAGUAACACGUGAGUAACCUGCCCUUGACUUUGGGAUAACUUCAGGAAACUGGGGCUAAUACCGGAUAGGAGCUCCUGCUGCAUGGUGGGGGUUGGAAAGUUUCGGCGGUUGGGGAUGGACUCGCGGCUUAUCAGCUUGUUGGUGGGGUAGUGGCUUACCAAGGCUUUGACGGGUAGCCGGCCUGAGAGGGUGACCGGCCACAUUGGGACUGAGAUACGGCCCAGAAUCCUAAGGGAGGCAACAGUGGGGAAUAUUGCACAAUGGGCGGAAGCCUGAUGCAGCCACGCCGGGUGCGGGAUGAAGGGCUUCGGGUUGUAAACCGCUUUCGCCUGUGACGAAGCGUGAGUGAAGGUAAUGGGUAAAGAAGCCCCGGCUAAAUACGUG